UCUACGGGUGGCAGCAGUGGGGGAUAUUGCACAAUGGGGGAAACCCUGAUGCAGCGACGCCGCGUGGGUGAAGAAGCGCCUCGGCGCGUAAAGCCCUGUCAGCAGGGAAGAAAAUGACGGUACCUGAAGAAGAAGCCCCGGCUAACUACGUGCCAGCCGCCGCGGUAAUACGUAGGGGGCAAGCGUUAUCCGGAUUUCCUGGGUGUAAAGGGGGAGCAGACGGCGAUGCAAGCCAGGAGUGAAAUCCCGGGGCCCAACCCCGGGACUGCUCGUGGAACUGCGUGGCUAGAGUGCAGGAGGGGCAGGUGGAAUUCCUGGGGGAGCGGUGAAAUGCGUAGAUAUCAGGAGGAACACCGGUGGCGAAGGCGGCCUGCUGGACUGCAACUGACGUUGAGGCCCGAAAGCGUGGGGAGCAAACAGGAUUAGAUACCCGGGUAGUC
RNAcentral lists this ribosomal RNA (440 nucleotides) under uncultured bacterium. Its description in RNAcentral is "partial 16S ribosomal RNA". It matches the Rfam family "Bacterial small subunit ribosomal RNA", at positions 338 to 795 of the family's 1533-position model. The record is from RNAcentral.